AUGCUCUCCAUGCGAUUGUGUCCUGUACCUGGCAGCUUAUAUCCUUGGAACAAACCCCAUUUUCCUUCCUUUGCUUCCCCACGUCCUAAGGUUGUGUUGGAUUUCCUUAGAAGCAGCAGGAAAUUCUUAGAGGAAAAAAAAAAAAUUCUCUUUAUUUAUGAUACUAUUACUCUAUUCUGGGGACCCAGCAGAAAUCAGUCAAGAGAAGAUUUUGCUUUCCUCCCGAAACUGACCACUGGUGCGCAGGGGCUUUUAAGGGGCGUUUCAGGGCCGUAUAGGUGGAGGGAGGGGGCUGCAGGCAGAAACAGCAGUCAGCUCCGACAGACCUCAUGAAAUUGGACAUGUCUCCAGCCCAGUUCAUCUUCAGUUCCAAGGUCCUUUUGUUUCCCUUUCCUUGGGGCGAUUUCUCGGAAUUGUGGCAGCGUACGUCUUGGUUAUACUGGUCAUCAUGGCAUAACGUCUCCCGCCUGGUGGGGGUUUCAGCCUCUACAAGACAGCGCAUAGGAUAUGGCUCGAAUGUGAUCUAUAGCCCUGGAGGAGGAACUAAAGGUCCUUGACUUUGCUUAAUGACUAAACUGUAAUUAUGUGGUCUCAUUUGACUAUUUUGCCUUUGCUUCUGCAUUUUCUUAGUUCUCUGAUUAAACGUAUUCUUUUCUGGCUGCUCCUCGGCAUAUGGAGUUUCCAGACCAGGCAUCAGAUCUGAGUGGCAGUUGCGACCUAGGCUGCCGCUAUGGCAACUCCUGGUCCUUUAACGAUGGGUUGGGGAUUGAACUUCCCUCCUGGUGCUGCAGAGAUGCUGCUGAUCCUGUGGCACCUCAGCAGGAACUCCUGAUUAACUUACUCUUUUUUUUUUUGAAAAUGAAAAUGUAUGUAUGUAUUUAUUUAUUUAUUUUCCCGCUGUACAGCAUGGGACCAAGUUACACAUACAUGUAUACGUACUUUUUCCUCCCAUUGUUGUGUUGUGAUGUAAGUACCUAGACAUAGUUCUCCAUGCUACACAGCAGUAAAUUUAUUCUUUGACUCAAGUUUGUCUACAGACAAAAGGCCCGUGGCAGACAUGGGGAAAGAAGGGAAGGACCUGAGGCUCCUGCUCGGUGUCAGUAGCAGGACCGGAUAAACUGGCCCCUUGUCAGAAGAGGCUUGAGAGGAGUGUUUAUGGUGGAAAAGUGGCUGAGAGCCCUGGUAGGGGCUUGCGAGGCAUAUGAAAAUGAUUAUGCAUGUGCCUUUCCUCGGCUAUUGUUACGGUCAGAGUUAUUUAUUUAUUUAUUUAUUUAUUUAUUUUUGGUCUUUUUUGCUAUUUCUUUGGGCCGCUCCCUCGGCAUAUGGAGGUUCC
This 1333-nucleotide long non-coding RNA is filed under the name Sus scrofa (pig). RNAcentral's name for it is "lncRNA (ENSSSCG00015017825.1)". Lineage: Eukaryota; Metazoa; Chordata; Mammalia; Artiodactyla; Suidae. The record is from RNAcentral.